CCUACGGGAGGCAGCAGUCGAGAAUCAUUCACAAUGGGGGAAACCCUGAUGGUGCGACGCCGCGUGGGGGAAUGAAGGUCUUCGGAUUUUAAACCCCUGUCAUGUGGGAGCAAAUUAAAAAGAUAGUACCACAAGAGGAAGAGACGUCUAACUCUGUGCCAGCAGCCGCGGUAAUACAGAGGUCUCAAGCGUUGUUCGGAAUCACUGGGCGUAAAGCGUGCGUAGGCUGUUUCGUAAGUCGUGUGUGAAAGGCGCGGGCUCAACCCGCGGACGGCACAUGAUACUGCGAGACUAGAGUAAUGGAGGGGGAACCGGAAUUCUCGGUGUAGCAGUGAAAUGCGUAGAUAUCGAGAGGAACACUAGUGGCGAAGGCGGGUUCCUGGACAUUAACUGACGCUGAGGCACGAAGGCCAGGGGAGCGAAAGGGAUUAGAUACCCCAGUAGUC
Molecule: ribosomal RNA, 446 nt
Filed under: uncultured bacterium
Lineage: Bacteria
Description: partial 16S ribosomal RNA
Rfam family: Bacterial small subunit ribosomal RNA
Source: RNAcentral